GGGCUUCCUUCCAUCAGAGACCCAGACUCUUCGGGAGCCGUCGCCAUGGGCUGGGCACUGAUCCUUUGCACGCUUCUCACUUACUGGACAGGUGCCAGCGCACAACGAGUUGUAACUCAGCCUCCGUCGCAGUCUGUGUCUCUAGGCCAAACCGUUAAACUCGCCUGCACUGCAAGUCCUGCAGGAAACUGGUAUUUCGGCUGGUACCGACAGCAGCCUGGGCAGCGUCCCCAGUUCGUGCUGUCUGGAAGCAGCAAGGGAGAAGGGAUCCCGGAUCGGUUCUCGGGCUCCAGCAAUUGGGGGAACCCCAACUAUCUAACCAUCACCAAUGCCCAGGCUGAAGAUGAGGCUGAGUAUUACUGUGCUGCCUGGGAAGAUAGUGUCAAGCUGUCUCACAGUGGUUGA
Varanus komodoensis (Komodo dragon) is the source of this 405-nucleotide non-coding RNA. Lineage: Eukaryota; Metazoa; Chordata; Lepidosauria; Squamata; Varanidae. The record is from the annotation of a RefSeq genome assembly.